RNAcentral lists this ribosomal RNA (841 nucleotides) under uncultured bacterium. RNAcentral's name for it is "bacterial SSU rRNA". It matches the Rfam family "Bacterial small subunit ribosomal RNA", at positions 26 to 898 of the family's 1533-position model. The record is from RNAcentral.
AGAAUCAACGCUGGCGGCGUGCCUAACACAUGCAAGUCGAACGAGAAAGUGGAGCAAUCCAUGAGUAAAGUGGCGACCGGGUGAGUAACACGUGACUAACCUACCUUCGAGUGGGGAAUAACCUCGGGAAACCGGGGCUAAUACCGCAUAACGUCUUCGGACCAAAGGAGCAAUUCGCUUGAAGAGGGGGUCGCGGCCGAUUAGCUAGUUGGUGAGGUAACGGCCCACCAAGGCAAUGAUCGGUAGCCGGCCUGAGAGGGCGCACGGCCACACUGGAACUGAAACACGGUCCAGACUCCUACGGGAGGCAGCAGUGGGGAAUUUUGCGCAAUGGGGGAAACCCUGACGCAGCAACGCCGCGUGGAGGAUGAAGCCCCUUGGGGUGUAAACUCCUUUCGAUCGGGACGAUAAUGACGGUACCGGAUGAAGAAGCACCGGCUAACUCUGUGCCAGCAGCCGCGGUAAUACAGAGGGUGCAAGCGUUGUUCGGAAUUAUUGGGCGUAAAGGGUGCGUAGGCGGUUUUGUAAGUCUUAUGUGAAAUCUAUGGGCUCAACUCAUAGACUGCAUGAGAAACUGCAGGGCUUGAGUGUGGGAGAGGUGAGUGGAAUUUCCGGUGUAGCGGUGAAAUGCGUAGAUAUCGGAAGGAACACCUGUGGCGAAAGCGGCUCACUGGACCACAACUGACGCUGAUGCACGAAAGCUAGGGGAGCAAACAGGAUUAGAUACCCUGGUAGUCCUAGCCCUAAACGAUGACUGCUUGGUGUGACGGGUACCCAAUCCCGCCGUGCCGUAGCUAACGCGUUAAGCAGUCCGCCUGGGGAGUACGGUCGCAAGGCUGAA